GACGAACGCUGGCGGCAUGCCUAAUACAUGCAAGUCGAGCGAACAGAUGAAGUGCUUGCACUUCUGACGUUAGCGGCGAACGGGUGAGUAACACGUAAGGAAUCUACCUAUAAGCGGGGGAUAACAUUCGGAAACGGGUGCUAAUACCGCAUAAUAUCUUCUUCCGCAUGGAAGAAGAUUGAAAGACGGCUCUGCUGUCACUUAUAGAUGACCUUGCGGUGCAUUAGUUAGUUGGUGGGGUAACGGCCUACCAAGACGAUGAUGCAUAGCCGACCUGAGAGGGUGAUAGGCCACAUUGGGACUGAGACACGGCCCAAACUCCUACGGGAGGCAGCAGUAGGGAAUCUUCCGCAAUGGGCGAAAGCCUGACGGAGCAAUGCCACGUGAGUGAAGAAGGCCUUCGGGUCGUAAAACUCUGUUAUAAGAGAAGAACAAAUUGUAGAGUAACUGCUACAGUCUUGACGGUAUCUUAUCAGAAAGCCACGGCUAACUACGUGCCAGCCGCCGCGGUAA
Molecule: ribosomal RNA, 513 nt
Filed under: uncultured bacterium
Lineage: Bacteria
Description: partial 16S ribosomal RNA
Rfam family: Bacterial small subunit ribosomal RNA
Source: RNAcentral